Molecule: long non-coding RNA, 1000 nt
Filed under: Selaginella moellendorffii
Lineage: Eukaryota; Viridiplantae; Streptophyta; Lycopodiopsida; Selaginellales; Selaginellaceae
Description: long non-coding RNA (SMOE_LNC000535)
Source: RNAcentral
GACGUUGGAACUUGCGGGCUCACCAGGAUCAUGCACGGGAAAUCUUACGGCCACACCGACUGGGUCACUUGCCUGGAUCAUCUGCCAGACGGAAGAAUCGUUAGCGGCGGAAUGGACAACAAGCUAUGCCUGUGGGACAAACGAGGUGUUCGAAGCAGGGACCUCAAAGGACACACUGCGUCUGUGUCGGGAGUUAAAGCCGGUGUUUUCAACCAAGGGAGUAUAGCAGUCAGUGCGAGCUAUGACAGGACUUUAAUCCUCUGGGAUCUGGGAGGACCUUCGGGGAGAGAGGUAGCAAAGCUGGCAGGACACAAGGCACCAGUCAUGGAAUUCGCAGGAACGCCGAGAGGGAGGCUUGUGAGUGGCUGCAGGGACGGGACUGUGAUACUCUGGGACGUGGACGGGAGGUCUCCCGUCUUGCAGUGCAAGAACGCUCAUAAAGGCCACGUUACAGCGUUAAAGGCAGUAGAGGAGGAGGCAGGGGACGUGUUUCUCUCAGGAGGGCAGGAUGGCUUACUUCAAGUCUGGGACUCUCGAUGCAGGCAGCCAGUCCACACUGCUUGUCUCCACAGGCACUCCCUGAAAGAUUUUCUUGUUAGAAAAGCACUAAAGAAUGUCUACUUUUACUUUCCAGAUCUGCAAAAGGCGUUGGAGCACUCACCUGCAUUGCAGUGGCGAAGAACACAACCUGUGGAUGUCCCCUGGUCACAACAGCAGGCGCGGACAGAGUACUGAAGGUCCUUGACGUAAGAGCGUCCUUUAAUGCGGUCUUUACUCUGGAAGAUCACCAGGAUUUUAUAUACAGCCUCUACAUGAAUGGUACGUAAGCCAAAAGAGAAAACGAAAAGAAACUAGGAGAACUUACAGAGAAAAAUGGAACAGGCUCGCUGGCUUGGAGCGGUGGAGGCGACGGAUCUCUUCUGGUGCACGACGUUGAGCGCGGUAAGUGCCUCUAUGGCUUGGGAGCGAUCAAAAACGGUGCCGUGAGAGGAAUCUCUCU